GGCUAAAGAACUUCCCUUGCACUCCCGAAAGCCUGUGUGAUGUGCUAUCUAUGGAUUUCCCUUUUGAGGUAGAUGGACUUCUCUUCUACCACAAACAGACCCACUACAGCCCCGGAAGCACUCCCUUGGUGGGCUGGCUGCGCCCCUACAUGGUGUCAGAUGUCCUUGGUGUAGCUGUGCCGGCUGGCCCGCUGACCACCAAGCCAGACUAUGCUGGGCACCAGCUCCAGCAGAUUAUGGAGCACAAGAAGAGCCAGAAGGAAGGCAUGAAGGAGAAACUCACACACAAGGCCUCUGAGAAUGGGCACUAUGAAUUGGAGCACCUGUCUACUCCCAAGUUGAAGGGUUCUUCCCAUAGCCCAGACCACCCUGGAUGCCUCAUGGAGAAUUAAAGAGAGAAGCCUCCUUAAGGAGCCACAGGAUGGUACCUGGCCCCAAAAGGAAUCCUGGAGAGGAGGACAGUGACAACAGGCUACCAAGCAGUUUCUCGAAGAGAUUAACAAGUGGACAGUUCAGUACAAUGUUUCCCCGCUGUCUUGGAAUGUGGCUGUCAAGUUCCUCAUGGCAAGGAAGUUUGAUGUGC
Molecule: long non-coding RNA, 583 nt
Organism: Homo sapiens (human)
Lineage: Eukaryota; Metazoa; Chordata; Mammalia; Primates; Hominidae
Source: Ensembl